GAUGAACGCUAGCUACAGGCUUAACACAUGCAAGUCGAGGGGGAAACGACAUCGAAAGCUUGCUUUUGAUGGGCGUCGACCGGCGCACGGGGGAGUAACGCGUAUCCAACCUGCCCACCACUUGGGGAUAACCUUGCGAAAGUAAGACUAAUACCCAAUGAUAUCUCUAGAAGACAUCGGAAAGAGAUUAAAGAUUUAUCGGUGAUGGAUGGGGAUGCGUCUGAUUAGCUUGUUGGCGGGGUAACGGCCCACCAAGGCAACGAUCAGUAGGGGUUCUGAGAGGAAGGUCCCCCACAUUGGAACUGCGACACGGUCCAAACUCCUACGGGAGGCAGCAGUGAGGAAUAUUAGUCAAUGGACGAGAGUCUGAACCAGCCAAGUAGCGUGCAGGAAGACGGCCCUAUGGGUUGUAAACUGCUUUUAUAAGGGAAUAAAGUGAGUCUCGUGAGACUUUUUGCAUGUACCUUAUGAAUAAGGACCGGCUAAUUCCGUG
RNAcentral lists this ribosomal RNA (493 nucleotides) under uncultured bacterium. Its description in RNAcentral is "partial 16S ribosomal RNA". It matches the Rfam family "Bacterial small subunit ribosomal RNA", at positions 28 to 507 of the family's 1533-position model. The record is from RNAcentral.